Molecule: ribosomal RNA, 305 nt
Filed under: uncultured bacterium
Lineage: Bacteria
Description: bacterial SSU rRNA
Rfam family: Bacterial small subunit ribosomal RNA
Source: RNAcentral
ACCUACGGGGGGCAGCAGUGGGGAAUAUUGGACAAUGGGGGAAACCCUGAUCCAGCGACGCCGCGUGAGUGAAGAAGUAUUUCGGUACGUAAAGCUCUAUCAGCAGGAAAGAAAAUGACGGUACCUGAAGAAAAAGCAUCGGCUAACUCCGUGCCAGCAGCCGCGGUAAUACGGAGGAUGCGAGCGUUAUCCGGAUUUAUUGGGUUUAAAGGGUGCGUAGGCGGGUUAUCAAGUCAGCGGUAAAAUCGUGGAGCUCAACUCCAUCCAGCCGUUGAAACUGAUGAUCUUGAGUGGGCGAGAAGUAU